UACGGAGGGUGCGAGCGUUAUCCGGAUUCACUGGGUUUAAAGGGUGCGUAGGUGGGAAUGUAAGUCAGUGGUGAAAUCUCUGAGCUUAACUCAGAAACUGCCAUUGAUACUAUGUUUCUUGAAUUUUCUGGAGGUCAGCGGAAUAUGUCAUGUAGCGGUGAAAUGCUUAGAUAUGACAUAGAACACCAAUUGCGAAGGCAGCUGGCUACAGGGAUAUUGACACUGAGGCACGAAAAGCGUGGGGAGCAAACAGG
RNAcentral lists this ribosomal RNA (254 nucleotides) under uncultured bacterium. Its description in RNAcentral is "partial 16S ribosomal RNA". It matches the Rfam family "Bacterial small subunit ribosomal RNA", at positions 524 to 776 of the family's 1533-position model. The record is from RNAcentral.